GUGCAGCAGGCGCGAACCUCCGCAAUACACGAAGUGUGACGGGGUUACCCAAGUGUCCAAAUUUGGACUGUGGUAGGUGAGUAAUGUCCCCUACUAGAAAGGAGAGGGCAAGGCUGGUGCCAGCCGCCGCGGUAAAACCAGCUCUUCAAGUGGUCGGGAUAAUUAUUGGGCUUAAAGUGUCCGUAGCCGGUUUAGUAAGUUCCUGGUAAAAUCGGGUAGCUUAACUAUCUGUAUGCUAGGAAUACUGCUAUACUAGAGGGCGGGAGAGGUCUGAGGUACUACAGGGGUAGGGGUGAAAUCCUGUAAUCCUUGUAGGACCACCAGUGGCGAAGGCGUCAGACUGGAACGCGCCUGACGGUGAGGGACGAAAGCCAGGGGGAGCGAACCGGAUUAGAUACCCCGGGGUA
RNAcentral lists this ribosomal RNA (407 nucleotides) under uncultured microorganism. Its description in RNAcentral is "bacterial SSU rRNA". It matches the Rfam family "Archaeal small subunit ribosomal RNA", at positions 330 to 743 of the family's 1478-position model. The record is from RNAcentral.